This is a non-coding RNA of Caretta caretta (loggerhead turtle), 1438 nucleotides long. The record is from RefSeq and is a predicted model, not a curated record. NCBI's taxonomy places the organism in Eukaryota, Metazoa, Chordata, Testudines, Cheloniidae.
AGUUAGGAAAUGCCAGAAUCAAGCUUGCCCAUGCAACCUUAAUUCAAACCCUUGAGCAUAUGAAUUAUGAUACAGUCCUUAAUUAUAUGAUCACAUACUAUUUUUUUCCACAGGACUGGGGCUUUAUGAGUUAAUCAACAAGAUUGAUCUGCUCUGGAGAAAAAUCAGGGUGUUGUUGUAAAAGAGACUUAUCAAUCGGACCCUUGCCUCAUUUAUUGCAGAAGGGUGAAAAACAGCAACGUAUGUGACAAAUCCAUGUGUUGUAGAGAACAGACAAUUACUAUAUAAACCGCAAACAUCUCUAAGAAGCUAAGACUAAAAGCCUUGUCCUUCAGCUCCAAAAACACAGGCGUCUACCAGUUGGCUGUCAGGGCGGCCCUUACAUUCUCUGCGGGCCCUCUGUGAGAAAGCAGCGUCACAUACAAAUACGAAGCACAUUACAACUAUACAACAUGAGAAAUGAAUACCUUUUCCAACUGAAACUGCAACAAGAACUUUUAGGUAUGAAAAAUGUAAUUACCAACUUGGAAACUGGCCAGGACAUUGGGGCCAACACCCCUACUCUUAGAGUGAAUACAUCAGUUCUUUAAUGACUUAAAGUGGCAACGGAGUACUUCCUAAUACCACAUAGGGACACUGAUUUAGUAGGAAGAGUUCUGCCUUUUGAGUCCCCAACACUACUUUCCUAUAGUUGCUUAGAAGCCUCUAAUCCGCCUGACCUUACUAAUUCCACCUGACCUUACUACAGUUGUGAGAUCUGAACAAAAUUACAUUACAAGGUGGUCAGUGUCAUACAUAACACAUGCUCACAUUGCUAACAUAAUCUGAACGUAAACUCAUAAGUUUAAGAGAGGGUGUUUCUCUUGUGCAUCACUGACUGACCCAGGUUUUAAUAAGUAAAGAUGUAAAUAAAGAUUAGUUGUGCCCGGACAGAAACACAAUAUAUGUACCUCUACAUCAGAUUCUUGGUAAUUUUCCAUUAGUCUCUGAACAAAUGUUUCGACUAUUUGUGGUCUUACAGCUGAGAAGUUUUCUUGCAUGAUUCGAUGCUUCCAGAGCUCUGGAGGAGCCAGGGGAAAAAACAUAACAAACAAUACAUCAACAGAUGUCUGUCACAAAAUAUUGAUCCCUCUUUAAUCCCUGUAAAAUGAUACCAUGUGCAAUUUGUAGUUUAGGAUUUCUCAAUCUUUCUAAAACUGUAUGCAACAGAAGGUAACUAUCACCACAAACAAAUUAUGUGAUUCUAUGCAGCAGGGGUGUUAGAUACAUGGUGUCAAAAGGGUAAAAGACAUUUUUGUUAUGGGCCAGGUGCCCCAGUUAGGGCCCUAUCCACAAUUGAUCACUGCCUGAUAAUAAGAGCUUUGCAUGAAAUUUGAGAGUAGAAUAUGGCUUUUUAUGUAGUAACUAAAUGUUUGGGUAGAAAAAUUACUGUUGCAUU